RNAcentral lists this ribosomal RNA (350 nucleotides) under uncultured bacterium. Its description in RNAcentral is "partial 16S ribosomal RNA". It matches the Rfam family "Bacterial small subunit ribosomal RNA", at positions 338 to 699 of the family's 1533-position model. The record is from RNAcentral.
CCUACGGGCGGCAGCAGUCGAGAAUCAUUCACAAUGGGGGAAACCCUGAUGGUGCGACGCCGCGUGGGGGAAUGAAGGUCUUCGGAUUGUAAACCCCUGUCAUGUGGGAGCAAAUUACAAAGCUAGUACCACAAGAGGAAUAGACGGCUAACUCUGUGCCAGCAGCCGCGGUAAUACAGCGGUCUCAAGCGUUGUUCGGAAUCCCUGGGCGUAAAGCGUUCGUAGGCUGUUUCGGAAGGCGUGUGUGAAAGGCGCGGGCUCAACCCUCGGAGGGCACAUGAUACGGGGAGACUAGAGUGAUGGAGGGGGAACCGGAAUGCGCGGUGUAGCAGUGAAAUGCGUAGAUAUCG